RNAcentral lists this ribosomal RNA (252 nucleotides) under uncultured bacterium. Its description in RNAcentral is "partial 16S ribosomal RNA". It matches the Rfam family "Bacterial small subunit ribosomal RNA", at positions 524 to 776 of the family's 1533-position model. The record is from RNAcentral.
UACGAGGGGGCAAGCGUUGUUCGGAAUCACUGGGCUUAAAGCGCGUGUAGGCGGGCCGCCACGUCAGUCGCUGAAAUCCCCCGGCUCAACCGGGGAAGUGGCACUGAUACGAGCGGCCUGGAGGGAGGUAGGGGGGCUGGAACUUCCGGUGGAGCGGUGAAAUGCGUUGAGAUCGGAAGGAACGCCCGUGGCGAAAGCGAGCCCCUGGACCUUUUCUGACGCUGAGACGCGAAAGCUAGGGGAGCGAACGGG